RNAcentral lists this ribosomal RNA (490 nucleotides) under uncultured bacterium. RNAcentral describes it as "partial 16S ribosomal RNA". It matches the Rfam family "Bacterial small subunit ribosomal RNA", at positions 29 to 507 of the family's 1533-position model. The record is from RNAcentral.
AGUGAACGCUGGCGGUAGGCCUAACACAUGCAAGUCGAACGGCAGCACAGGAGAGCUUGCCCUCUGGGUGGCGAGUGGCGGACGGGUGAGGAAUACAUCGGAAUCUGCCCAGUCGUGGGGGAUAACGUAGGGAAACUUACGCUAAUACCGCAUACGACCUUCGGGUGAAAGAGGGGGAUCGCAAGACCUCUCGCGAUUGGAUGAGCCGAUGUCGGAUUAGCUAGUUGGCAGGGUAAUGGCCCACCAAGGCGACGAUCCGUAGCUGGUCUGAGAGGAUGAUCAGCCACACUGGAACUGAGACACGGUCCAGACUCCUACGGGAGGCAGCAGUGGGGAAUAUUGGACAAUGGGCGCAAGCCUGAUCCAGCCAUACCGCGUGGGUGAAGAAGGCCUUCGGGUUGUAAAGCCCUUUUGUUGGGAAAGAAAUCUUUCAGGCUAAUACCCUGGGAGGAUGACGGUACCCAAAGAAUAAGCACCGGCUAACUUCGUG